UAGUUUUAUCUUUAAAAUUUAAGAACAAAAAUAAAUGAAAUAUUUUUUUCAAUUAAAUGAGUUAAACCUGGUACCAGCCCUAACCCUUGAUUAUAAUAGGUUCAAAAUAGGGUUGAGUUAAAAUAGGGCUGGACUUAUAAUAAACAAAAGAGGGCUGAGCCCUAACACUGUAGUUAACAUCCCUACUCCUUGUUGAUCAAAAUCAUAAUUUACAAACAUUGAAACAUUCGGUUUAUAACACAACACACUAAACAUUACUAAGUUACCCAUUAAACCGGGCUAAUAAGAUAAAUAUGGCAUUCGGUUUGGAAGCAUAUGGUCUUGGUGACUUGGUUCCAUUGUUCUUCUUGAUGAUGAGAAAAAAGAUUUGCACUGAACUGGUGUAGAAAUGUCUUCUACUUCCACUAACAAUAGCAUUAGAGUAUCCGCAGCUUUAACUGACGAGCUUCCAGUAAUUGAAAACAGUCUUUUCUCAGAGUUUCCAAGCUUCCCGCGCCACAGUGGGAGAAGAGAGCACAAUCCUGUGAAAGAGGAAGAUUGACGGAGAAGAGAGCACAACUUAUGACCAAUGUAAAGACUAAAGAUUUGUUAAAAAUUUGAUCACAUGAAUAAAUCUCCAAGGCCAAAUCAACUUACUGCGAUCUCAACAUGCUCUUAGUCAUAACCCAGAUGAUACUAUUUAUGCAUUGCCUACUUAAUUAUUUGUAAGAGCACAACCAUAGCACUUGGAUAGCAAUCUGUUUCCUUCCUUGCAUAAAUUGGUAGAACCCUAACUUGUACAUUUUCCUAUUAAAAAAACAGCAUGGGGACCGGGUUCGUAAUCUUCUACAAAACUAAGUCACUGACCUUACUUUUCCCCGCAGUAGAGAGACAGUAGUAGCCAACAAAGAUUAUAUGCAAAAUAAAAUACAUCUAACGAUCUCUUCUGCCACGCCCAACAACCUUCCCUGGUAACGACCACAAGAAAAAAGCAAAUCAUGAUGAAUGAAUGAGUGAUUGAACAAGAAAAUAAAAUCUAAUGAGUAUAGUAUAAUACUGGUGGCAGCAGCCUUCUUGGGCUUAACCCUUGGGGUAUCCCUGGUAAAUACACGCUAGUCUGAAAUAUCACAUAAGAUUACACGAUCAUUUAGACAAGAUGAGAUAUAGGGGGGGGGGGGGAAUUUGUUAAGUCUCGGCGGCGUCUUCACAUGUUUCUUCUAAGAAAUUUCAGCUUUGAAUUAGUCAACAUGAGAGAACUGUCGCAUACUUGAGAUAUGCUUU
This 1260-nucleotide long non-coding RNA is filed under the name Brassica napus (rape). RNAcentral describes it as "long non-coding RNA (BNAP_LNC012281)". The record is from RNAcentral. Lineage: Eukaryota; Viridiplantae; Streptophyta; Magnoliopsida; Brassicales; Brassicaceae.